RNAcentral lists this ribosomal RNA (348 nucleotides) under uncultured bacterium. Its description in RNAcentral is "bacterial SSU rRNA". It matches the Rfam family "Bacterial small subunit ribosomal RNA", at positions 455 to 802 of the family's 1533-position model. The record is from RNAcentral.
CUUUUUUAGGAUAUUUGACGGUACCCUGUGAAUAAGCACCGGCUAACUCCGUGCCAGCAGCCGCGGUAAUACGGAGGGUGCAAGCGUUAUCCGGAUUCACUGGGUUUAAAGGGUGCGUAGGCGGGUAUGUAAGUCAGUGGUGAAAUACCGGAGCUUAACUUCGGAACUGCCAUUGAUACUAUAUAUCUUGAAUAUUGUGGAGGUAAGCGGAAUAUGUCAUGUAGCGGUGAAAUGCUUAGAGAUGACAUAGAACACCGAUUGCGAAGGCAGCUUGCUACGCAAAUAUUGACGCUGAGGCACGAAAGCGUGGGGAUCAAACAGGAUUAGAUACCCUGGUAGUCAAGGGCG